RNAcentral lists this ribosomal RNA (362 nucleotides) under uncultured Streptococcus sp. RNAcentral's name for it is "bacterial SSU rRNA". It matches the Rfam family "Bacterial small subunit ribosomal RNA", at positions 1021 to 1384 of the family's 1533-position model. The record is from RNAcentral. Lineage: Bacteria; Bacillati; Bacillota; Bacilli; Lactobacillales; Streptococcaceae.
CGGUACAUCGGUGACAGGUGGUGCAUGGUUGUCGUCAGCUCGUGUCGUGAGAUGUUGGGUUAAGUCCCGCAACGAGCGCAACCCCUAUUGUUAGUUGCCAUCAUUCAGUUGGGCACUCUAGCGAGACUGCCGGUAAUAAACCGGAGGAAGGUGGGGAUGACGUCAAAUCAUCAUGCCCCUUAUGACCUGGGCUACACACGUGCUACAAUGGUUGGUACAACGAGUUGCGAGUCGGUGACGGCGAGCUAAUCUCUUAAAGCCAAUCUCAGUUCGGAUUGUAGGCUGCAACUCGCCUACAUGAAGUCGGAAUCGCUAGUAAUCGCGGAUCAGCACGCCGCGGUGAAUACGUUCCCGGGCCUUGU